UACAUAGAUGGCAAGCGUUGUCCAAAUUUAUUGGAUUUAAGGGGUGCGUAGGCAGUUUUAUAAGUCAGUACUGAAAUAUCCCAGCUUAACCAAAAGGAUGGCAUUGAUACUAUAAAACUUAAAUAAAGUUAAAAUUAACGAAAUUGACGGUGUAGCGGUAAAAUGCUUAGAUAUCGUCAAGAACACCGAUAAUGAAGACAGCUAACUAAACUUUAACUAACGCUAAAACACAAAAGUAUAAGGAUCAAACAGG
Molecule: ribosomal RNA, 253 nt
Filed under: uncultured bacterium
Lineage: Bacteria
Description: partial 16S ribosomal RNA
Rfam family: Bacterial small subunit ribosomal RNA
Source: RNAcentral